GGGUGAGUAACACGUGGAUAACCUACCUAUAAGACUAGGAUAACUUCGGGAAACCGGAGCUAAUACCGGAUAAUAUUUUGAACCGCAUGGUUCAAAAGUGAAAGACGGUCUUGCUGUCACUUAUAGAUGGAUCCGCGCUGCAUUAACUAGUUGGUAAGGUAACGGCUUACCAAGGCAACGAUGCAUAGCCGACCUGAGAGGGUGAUCGGCCACACUGGAACUGAGACACGGUCCAG
This 236-nucleotide ribosomal RNA is filed under the name uncultured Staphylococcus sp. RNAcentral describes it as "partial 16S ribosomal RNA". It matches the Rfam family "Bacterial small subunit ribosomal RNA", at positions 104 to 334 of the family's 1533-position model. The record is from RNAcentral. Lineage: Bacteria; Bacillati; Bacillota; Bacilli; Caryophanales; Staphylococcaceae.